This is a long non-coding RNA of Lycium barbarum (goji berry), 350 nucleotides long. RefSeq lists it as uncharacterized. The record is from RefSeq and is a predicted model, not a curated record. NCBI's taxonomy places the organism in Eukaryota, Viridiplantae, Streptophyta, Magnoliopsida, Solanales, Solanaceae. The transcript is spliced from 3 exons.
ACUCAAUUGUAAGCUCUUUUAGAUGAUUAUCUGUGGAGUUUUGUUUCUCUCGUUUUCUCUCUGAAUUCUUUGUUUUCACAUAGUUGAAAAGGAACAACACGAGAUCUUCCAGUUGAAGAACAUAUCAUCAAUUUGUGUUGAUUCAACAUGAUACGAUUUCGGUCACAAGGUAAUAUCCAUUAUCCAGAGGGUCGUAAAUGAUGCAAAGAUCUGAAUAGCUAGCACGAAGGGCUCCUUAAUUUGUUCUUCUUCUAUUUCAUUUUGUUUUACCCCUUUCAAUUUUGUUAGUAGAAAAGUUAUCAAACAUUUUUAGUAAUAAAAUUAGCUCCUGUGGGCUUAUCUUUUUUAUA